This is a long non-coding RNA of Daphnia pulicaria, 734 nucleotides long. RefSeq lists it as uncharacterized. NCBI's taxonomy places the organism in Eukaryota, Metazoa, Arthropoda, Branchiopoda, Diplostraca, Daphniidae. The record is from RefSeq and is a predicted model, not a curated record. The transcript is spliced from 3 exons.
AAUAUCUCUCGAUCGGAGAUAAGUUUGAAUAAUGAAUAUUAUUAGUGCAUUAAGGAACUUUCGUCAUUUGCCUACAGGAGGAUAUGGAUUCUUGAUUUGACUUAGUUGCCCCAGCUGAUCAAAUCUAUAUUCUUCACUACAUUGAAGAGACCUUUGUGUUACUAUUUUGAAAGAAACACUACACCAAGUAAUCCAUUUCUUCGUGGUCUCUCCAUAAUCGUUUGCAUGGAUGAGGCAAAUUCUACCUGAAAUGUGCUGUCAUUCUUCAUCAACAAGUAGUGAGUGUAAAUUUCAAUAUCCCUACUUUAAUUUGAAUCCCAUGCUGUAGACAAAGCAGUGAAGUCAAGAUGUUGAGUAUGCAAGUUCGUUUUCCAAAAACGAUAUUCAUUGAGCGUGUACACUCUCGAUAAUGUAGCUUCGGGGUAGUUACAUUUCGCCUUAUUUUUACUCUUAAACCCCUUUUUUACCUGUAUACUUAUCAACGUCUCAACAACAAUGCAAUACUUAAGGUCGUCUACUAGCCCGGAGUUUAUCCGUGUUGAACUAGUCAGUUAAAAUCCGCCCGAGUCCAAAAUCACACCCUGUUCAAUUCAUCUUUUCACCUUAUAUUCGAUUACGUGUUUCAUAUUUUCCAAUAUAAGUGUUGGAAGAAUGGAAAAAUCGAUGAGUACAGUUCUCAAUGAUUUAUUCAGACGAACAAAUGUGAAUAAAUCAAUGUGAAGUAUUUAAAAAAA